AUUUCCCCACGAGCUCAGGCGCAUCCUUUCCCCUUUUACUCUCUUUUCUCUUAUCCGCCUAAACCCAUCAAUCUCAAAUCCUCGCACAAAUCUAUGCAAAGUCUACUGAUACAAACUCAAAUCAUCUCUUUUGCCUCCUGAGCCGCGAAUCUCACUGAUUCCUUUCUAAUUCCACCGAUAAAAUUCAAAUCACCUAAAAUCCGAAACCGUAGCUAAAAAAUAAAACUUCAAAUCGUUCAAUUUAUCUUAUGUUCAAUCAAUCCGUAGCAUGCAUGGAGUUUUUUUAGAGUUUCAUUAUGAGAAUUAGAUACCCAGAGGUCAAACGCAAUGACCUAUGGGUUUUAGAGCCUUAUCCGAUGAUUUUAUUAUUUUUCCCUCUGCCUUCUCUGAUUUUACUUGCUUUGCUUCCAUCAUCCCAUAUUCAUCAUCUUCCACUCACCAUUUCAAAUAUGUUGGAACCAUAGUCAUUGAAUGACAUUAUAAAUAGAUCCUUCAAUGCUCUCAACUAAUAGGACUUAACACGAAUACAAAGCAACAUACACUAAGAAUCACCUCACAAUUGAACACUUAGGUUUUUAACUGAUUUCUCAUUUUCUUCCUUUCUUUCCGGCUCUGAGUUCAUUCACUAUUCAAGGUUUGAGAUUUUAAUUCCUAAGAGGCAAAAACAAAAGACUUUGUUUGGUUUACUGCUCCGAAGAAGGUUAGUGUGUACUUACCCCUCUCCUUCUUUGACUGUUUGAGCUAUAAUCAUUCUCACUAUGUUGUGUUUAUUGUUUAUAUCUGCUUAAUGAUGUAUUCUAAUAAGCGUAUCAUGCCUUAACAUUGGAUGUUAUCUUCAUUGUAUGAGCCAACUGCUUUCACUGAUAGUUUGAAAUUAUGUUAAUGUUAGUCGAUUAUCCUAUGAACUUAAUAAUCCUAAAUGUUUCUCUAAGUUUAACAAAUCUAGUUUUUUGCUGAAUCUCUAUUGUAAAUAAAAGGAUUUAAUCUCCACAUAGGUUUUAUCAAAAUUAUACUAUUGCUAUGAUCCUAAGUCUCUUUUGAUGCCUUGUUGAAUGUUUUGUGUCUACUCUCCUGAUAUUGUAUUAGAAGUACCACUUGCUGAUCUACACUCAAUUUGUCUACCUUAAUAAUAUUGGGACUAUGUUAGUUGUGUACACUUAUAGGUUCAACACAAGUUUGGUAUCAUGAUUAUCAAUUUAGUUUUUAGUUUCUUUGCUAUUCAAGUGUAUCAUGAAAUUCUAUGGCUCUUUAAAGCACUAUAAAGGUCUCUUAUUAAUUUUCACAUUUAUGUGCCUGCUUAGCUACACUUAUAGACUCUACUGGGUAAAUGUCUUCUAAAAAGUAAUUAAACUAAGUCUUAAUGAGUUCAUGUGGUUAGUUUAAAGGCUGUGAUGACUCCAUAUGUAUUCUGCCUGUUGUUACCAUGUUAACUAGCCUAAUGCAGACUAUGUUCUUAACUGUCCUUUAGAGUUUGGUCACGAGUUAUACUUGCUGCCUUAUCAUCUCUUGGAUUAGCUAUACUGUCAUCAUGUCUAAAAGAUUUAACUUCAUUAGGAUGCCUAUGUUGACACACCUGCCUGCAAAUCUACGUUGAUUGAUCUAUCACUGGAACCACAUCUAUCUAAUACAUGUAAAACCUGCAUGUUUCUUGUGUUUUGGACCUUUAUAAUGAAAAAAAUAAUAUGAUCCUAGAUCAGCUGCUCUUCUGCUGUACUCUAUAACCUUGCAGUCCUUUAGGAAAAGAAUUUGUAUGUAUUUGAAUAUCCCAUGUCAUGCCUUUGCUUCUAAUUGUCUGUUAAUAUACUCAGUGUUUGUCUUUCAUUGAAGAGACAUUCAUGUCGGUGCUCUCAUGUUUCUUACAUAAAGAAGAAGUUGAAUCUUGUUAACAACAUAAGAUUCCGAAUAUAAAAAAACUGUGAUCACUACUGAAUUUGAGGGAAACUUACUGAUGUUUUCCUGCCUGUUUGAAUACUAUACUGUAUUUAUAUGAAUGUCUUGACUCUUAAUAACUUAGUGUGAAUCUGAGAUUGUGGACUUGAAAGGGUGAGUGAUCAUGUUAUUACCUUGGAUUAGGAUUAAGAUUGACCUGCUACCUACAUAAGUAUAUUUAUUAAUACUCUUUAAAAAUUCUGAAUAGGGUUGUUAAUUCAUACAUCUAAUAGAAGUGAGGAUUUAACCCGUGUGUGAACCUAUGAUUGAUCUGAACAUAGUGUAAUAGUUGUUGAAGUGCUAUGAAUUUAAUUAAGAACUCCUGCAAACUUGAACCUGUCAGUAGGAUUAAUAAGGUUGAUAUAUAUGUCUUUUCUACCCCGUGAAUCACUUGACUAAGUAUUUGAUAGUCUAAACUAGUCUACUGAUGUUUGCCUCUCCUUGUUUACAUCUAUAGUUGGUUCCUUUGGGUAUUAUUAUGCACAUUGAAUGUAUUGACAGUGGACUACACUCUUUUGUUUGGAUUGUGACCUCAAAAAUCAAUAAUAUAAUCUGGUAUUUUAUACUUAUAAUGUGGAAAUCAUGUAUACUCGAAUCUGUGUGCUACUACAUUAGUUGUCACAAUGAAUUCCUCAUUGGAAACUAAACUUGUAAGGAGGAGUGAGUGUGAGUGGUUAAGGGAUUUUCUUGUAGAAUCUAAUUUGUGGUUGAGAUUUCCUCCCUGACACAAGCACUGCUCGGGGUCCCUGAAACCCUUGUGAACUCUGAAGUGCUAGGGAUCCAAAGGGUGUAUUACCUAUGAAUGAGAUUUUUCCCUAAUCUCCUAAAUAUUGACACUUACUAAUCUCUUUAGGAUUAUAUUAAUUUAAAAAGGCUUCAGUGUGAUAAUUAUUUUGCUUACUCUAUUUGGGCCUUACAUGUCAUUACUAUGUCUUUAAUUACAAUAUUUGUUAUUGCUUAUUGGGCCUCAUGUAACAUUACUAAUAUCUCUCUUCUCUUUUGCAUAUGUGAUCAUAGUGGGCCUAUUGAUAUCUCAAAAACUCAGGACCAAGUUCUAGCCUAAAGUAUCCAAGUCGCUGAAGCUUGCCGAAGUUGUUCUAAAUUUGUCGGGCCAACAUUUCUUUUAGGCCCAAAUACUGACUCCAGUUCCCGUUCCUUCCUCAUUAUUAGAUGAACUGAAUCUGUUAUCUAUUUUUUUUUACAUGUGUAUGACAUUAACGAUAUUGAUUGAAUGUGUAUAUCCCCUUAAGCCAUUUAGGAAUCUCGGCAAGCCAAGAUCUAUAGGUAAUAAAAAGGAAUCACUGUUGCAUUACAAUUAGCUAUAAAAUUUCGG
This 3262-nucleotide long non-coding RNA is filed under the name Nicotiana tabacum (common tobacco). RNAcentral's name for it is "long non-coding RNA (NTAB_LNC012372)". The record is from RNAcentral. Lineage: Eukaryota; Viridiplantae; Streptophyta; Magnoliopsida; Solanales; Solanaceae.